Molecule: long non-coding RNA, 706 nt
Organism: Anthonomus grandis grandis
Lineage: Eukaryota; Metazoa; Arthropoda; Insecta; Coleoptera; Curculionidae
Exons: 3
Source: RefSeq, a predicted model, not a curated record
UAUAAUGAGUAAUUAACGAGAUUUUCUAAUCAGUAUCAUAAAGAUGAUAAGAUAAUAGAUUCCCACCACACACACACAUAUACAUUUUCGCAUUAAAUUGCAACACCUUAAUACUUCUGCAAUGGCUUUUUACAAAUUAAGCUGGUUCCUUUGUGUUAUAUCCUUACCCUUUAUACUAUCAUCAUUUAACGAAACAGACAAUCCGGAGGUUCAGAAACUAUUGUUAGAUCUGCUAGAUUACACUGGACUAAGCAAUUUAACACCAAAUCAUACCAUCCAAGGAAUCGAAUGUAGUGAUCUAGAAGAACCUUUGACGGAAUGUACCAUUAAUUCCAAUGGAACUAUAGUUUGGGAUGUUCGAUAUGAAAUGUACAGCCAGAAUAUGUAUUACUAUGCAAACAAUAGUAUUACUUUGGAUGGCUGUCAAACACUGCUACCAGGAAAUGCCUCACAAACUGCCUAUGAUGAAUGUAUGAAAAUAGUUCGAGAAAAUAUGAGCAGUUUUCUGAAAACUUUUGAUGACAGAUUUAAAGAGAUUUUGCAAUCAAAUUGCAGCGGUUUGGCACCAGAUAACUGUGUGGAAUUAUUAAAGUAAUGUGCAUGAUUUUAAUUAAUCUUAUCAUGAAGAACCAGUGUUUCAGUGUGUGUAUAAUUUCAGUUUUUGUAUUUAAUACUGAUUAUAAGUCAAUUAUGGAUAACUAACAAA